GUGCUUGCCCUAACAAUCAUCUUCCAAACACCUGUGCACAUUUUUGAGGGAGUUUCGAGUUUUAUUGCCGUUUUUGGUGAUUUUCUUGUAUUCCCUUGAAUUAUUAUACGCUGUUAACAAUGAUGAACGUGCUCUGUGCCGCAAGGCCAUUAAUAUAAUACAACUUUUAACAACGGAUCUCUUGGCUCUCGCAUCGAUGAAGAACGCAGCGAAAUGCGAUAAGUAAUGUGAAUUGCAGAAUUCAGUGAAUCAUCGAAUCUUUGAACGCACCUUGCGCUCCCUGGUAUUCCGGGGAGCACGCCUGUUCGAGUGUCGCGAAAUUUCUCAAGCUUGGAUGGCCUUUUUGUCUGUCCUUAGCCUUGGUUGUUGGGCUUUGCCGUGUCCUUUGUUGGGACGGCUGGCCUUAAAAGCAUUAGCUGAUCCUCGUGUGGCACUGGUUCUACUCAGCGUGAUAACAGUCUGAUCGCUGAGGACAUCUUUUGGGAUGGCCAGUUCUCAUUUGGGUUGCUUCCAAACUUGGUUUUGCAGAUUCUUCAA
Molecule: small RNA, 537 nt
Filed under: uncultured fungus
Lineage: Eukaryota; Fungi
Description: eukaryotic LSU rRNA
Rfam family: 5.8S ribosomal RNA (bases 162-315)
Source: RNAcentral